GACGAACGCUGGCGGCGUGCUUAACACAUGCAAGUCGAACGGAAAGGCCCUGCUUUUGUGGGGUGCUCGAGUGGCGAACGGGUGAGUAACACGUGAGUAACCUGCCCUUGACUUUGGGAUAACUUCAGGAAACUGGGGCUAAUACCGGAUAGGAGCUCCUGCUGCAUGGUGGGGGUUGGAAAGUUUCGGCGGUUGGGGAUGGACUCGCGGCUUAUCAGCUUGUUGGUGGGGUAGUGGCUUACCAAGGCUUUGACGGGUAGCCGGCCUGAGAGGGUGACCGGCCACAUUAGGACUGAGAUACGGCCCAGACUCCUACAUGAGGCAGCAGUGGGAAAUAUUGCACAAUGGGCGGAAGCCUGAUGCAGCAACGCCGCGUGCGGAAUGACGUCCUUCGGGUUGUAAACCGCUUUCGCCUGUGACGAAGCGUUAGUGACGGUAAUGAGUAAAGAAGCACCGGCUAACUACGUG
This 468-nucleotide ribosomal RNA is filed under the name uncultured bacterium. Its description in RNAcentral is "partial 16S ribosomal RNA". It matches the Rfam family "Bacterial small subunit ribosomal RNA", at positions 28 to 507 of the family's 1533-position model. The record is from RNAcentral.